AUGGUGAACUUCUUCCUUUUUUUCACUCCCUCUAGGGGGCUACGACAAGGGUGCCCAGCGUCUCCGUACUUAUUCCUGCUAUGUGCGGAAGGAUUAACUUCACUUUUGAACCACUUUGGUGGUUUGAGAGUAGACAAAGGCAUUCGAGUCAGCUACCGAUCUCCGUGGAUCAAUCAUCUUCUUUUCGCAGAUGACAGUCUAAUAUUUAUGCAGGCAAAGGUGGACAGUGCUCAAAGGCUCAAUGAGAUACUGAGAAUUUAUGAGAGGGGCUCAGGGCAGGCUGUCAAUAAAGAGAAAAGCUCUAUUUAUUUCAGUCCGAACACCUAUGCCCCGGAUAAGCUACUGUUGAAGCAAACUUUGAACAUUUCCGUAGAAGCUUUCAACGAGCGUUACCUUGGUCUACCUACAGCUGUGGGUAGGAUCACAAACGGUACUUUUGACCAUAUUGGAGAGAGGAUUCGAAGCAAACUCCAAGGCGGGUCGGAAAGAAUGAUUUCUUGUGCUGGAAGGGAAGUGCGUAUAAAGACUGUAGCCCAAGCUAUACCUAUUUUCAGCAUGAGUUGUUUCAAGUUAACAAAGAAGGUGUGUAAGAGCCUCACUUCCUCCUUCGCUAAGUAUUGGUGGAGUAGCUCCCUGGAUCAUAAUUCAAUGCAUUGGAAGGCUUGGACGGCUUUGGCAAGUCCAAAAGAGAAGGGCGGAAUGGGAUUCCGGGAUCUUGAUCUUUUCAACACAACUCUUCUCGGCAAACAUGGUUGGCGAUUGAUGACGAACCCAUCAUCGCUUUGUGCUCGAGUUCUCAAAGGGAGAUAUUUUCCCACUUGUGAUUUUAUGCAAGCUACAGUCCCGCGUUUUUCCUCGGCGAUGUGGCGUGCUAUCAUUGCGGGGAGGGAUUCUUUGCAAGUCGGUCUGAUCAAACGCAUAGGAGAUGGCAGGUCAGUCUCUAUCUGGGAAGAUAAGUGGAUCCCCGGUACUCUUUCUAUGACUCCGACUGUCAGAAGUGUUAGGAUUUAA
RNAcentral lists this ribosomal RNA (1011 nucleotides) under Triticum aestivum (bread wheat). Its description in RNAcentral is "partial small subunit ribosomal RNA". Lineage: Eukaryota; Viridiplantae; Streptophyta; Magnoliopsida; Poales; Poaceae. The record is from RNAcentral.